AUUGCUUCUUGGCCUUUUGGCCAAGAUCAAGUGUAGAGAUCUGUUCUUUUCAGCUUCACAUCUGAUACAUCCUCUGAGGACCACAUAUUAAAUGGAUUUUUGGAGCAGGAGAUGGAAUAGGGACUUGCUCUGCCCACGCCACCGCUCAUUGACCCAGCGAUUCAGUACCUCUGGGAAACGCGCACUCGCU
Phyllostomus hastatus (greater spear-nosed bat) is the source of this 190-nucleotide small nuclear RNA. RefSeq annotates it as U2 spliceosomal RNA. The transcript has a single exon. Lineage: Eukaryota; Metazoa; Chordata; Mammalia; Chiroptera; Phyllostomidae. The record is from RefSeq and is a predicted model, not a curated record.